This 440-nucleotide ribosomal RNA is filed under the name uncultured bacterium. RNAcentral's name for it is "partial 16S ribosomal RNA". It matches the Rfam family "Bacterial small subunit ribosomal RNA", at positions 338 to 795 of the family's 1533-position model. The record is from RNAcentral.
CCUACGGGUGGCAGCAGUGGGGGAUAUUGCACAAUGGGGGAAACCCUGAUGCAGCGACGCCGCGUGUGGGAAGACGGUCUUCUGGAUUGUAAACCACUGUCCCCAGGGACGAAAAUGACGGUACCUGGGGAGGAAGCUCCGGCUAACUACGUGCCAGCAGCCGCGGUAAUACGUAGGGAGCAAGCGUUGUCCGGAAUUACUGGGUGAAAAGGGAGCGUAGGCGGGGAUGCAAGUUGGGUGUAAAAACUACCGGCUCAACCGAUAGUCGCACUCAAAACUGCAACUCUUGAGUGAAGUAGAGGCAGGCGGAAUUCCUAGUGUAGCGGUGAAAUGCGUAGAUAUUAGGAGGAACACCAGUGGCGAAGGCGGCCUGCUGGGCUUUUACUGACGCUGAGGCUCGAAAGUGUGGGGAGCAAACAGGAUUAGAUACCCCAGUAGUC